UACGGGGGGGGCAAGCGUUGUUCGGAAUUACUGGGCGUAAAGGGCUCGUAGGCGGCCAACUAAGUCGGACGUGAAAUCCCCAGGCUCAACCUGGGAACUGCGUCUGAUACUGGAUGGCUUGAAUCCGGGAGAGGGAUGCAGAAUUCCAGGUGUAGCGGUGAAAUGCGUAGAUAUCUGGAGGAACACCGGUGGCGAAGGCGGCAUCCUGGACCAAUAUUGACGCUGAGGAGCGAAAGCCAGGGGAGCAAACGGG
RNAcentral lists this ribosomal RNA (253 nucleotides) under uncultured bacterium. Its description in RNAcentral is "partial 16S ribosomal RNA". It matches the Rfam family "Bacterial small subunit ribosomal RNA", at positions 524 to 776 of the family's 1533-position model. The record is from RNAcentral.